Molecule: unclassified non-coding RNA, 279 nt
Filed under: plant metagenome
Description: partial contains small subunit ribosomal RNA, internal transcribed spacer 1, and 5.8S ribosomal RNA
Source: RNAcentral
UUUCCGUAGGUGAACCUGCGGAAGGAUCAUUAUAGUAUAACAGACCUGCGAGGGCUGUCGCUGCCCCGCUACCUCUUGCACGCCCGAGUAGCCUCUCACACAUCCAACCGACGCCUGUGUGCACACCCGCGUGGUUCCCGCUUCGGUUUUUUCGUAGUGCGUCUUACGAUUCCAUACAAACCUUAUCUCCUGUGUAGAACGUAUUUUUUGAACUUGUGAUCUCGCAAUCAAACCAACUUUCACCAACGUGUCUCUUGGCUCUCUCAUCUAUCAAGAACC